AUUGAACGCUGGCGGCAUGCCUUACACAUGCAAGUCGAACGGCAGCACGGGAGCAAUCCUGGUGGCGAGUGGCGAACGGGUGAGUAAUAUAUCGGAACGUGCCCGGUCGUGGGGAUAACGUAGCGAAAGCUACGCUAAUACCGCAUACGAUCUACGGAUGAAAGCGGGGGGAUCGCAAGACCUCGCGCGAUUGGAGCGGCCGAUAUCAGAUUAGGUAGUUGGUGAGGUAAAGGCUCACCAAGCCGACGAUCUGUAGCUGGUCUGAGAGGACGACCAGCCACACUGGGACUGAGACACGGCCCAGACUCCUACGGGAGGCAGCAGUGGGGAAUUUUGGACAAUGGGCGCAAGCCUGAUCCAGCCAUGCCGCGUGUGUGAAG
Molecule: ribosomal RNA, 380 nt
Filed under: uncultured bacterium
Lineage: Bacteria
Description: bacterial SSU rRNA
Rfam family: Bacterial small subunit ribosomal RNA
Source: RNAcentral